ACACACGGAAAACGGCUGAGGAGCGGGUGAGCCCCUGACAGAGGAGUAAAUCUGCAGAUCAACACAAAUCCUCCAGUUUCCACCUCCUCCAACAGCAGUAGCUAGCUGUCAGCUUUUACCAGCCGCCCGGCGCGUUCUGCGCUCCCGACCUCCGGAUCAUAGCCUAAUCAUCCGUGCGAUUGUUGGACUUCACGGUAUUGUUAAACUGCUGCAUUGAGCUUCUGGAUUUCUGCUGCGCUUCUUCAUUCUGUGGAUCUUUAGAGAAGAGAUAGAUAGAUAGAUAGAUAGAUAGAUAGAUAGAUAGAUAGAUAGAUAGAUAGAUAGAUAGAUAGAUAGAUAGAUAGAUAGAUAGAUAUAGAGUGUGAGGCAGAAGGUUUUAAGGGUGAAGGAGCAAUGUGACGGUUGGAUUCCUCCUAUAGCUCACCGGCUACAAUGGACCAAAUCAUACACUGAAACAUCACAGCUCAAGACACAAUGGUCCUUGUUUUUUUCCUGUCAUUAGCAACUGCACAGCCUGACACAGCCAAUUCAACAAACGGCAAUAGCAGUG
Molecule: long non-coding RNA, 550 nt
Organism: Carassius carassius (crucian carp)
Lineage: Eukaryota; Metazoa; Chordata; Actinopteri; Cypriniformes; Cyprinidae
Exons: 3
Source: RefSeq, a predicted model, not a curated record